CCCCACUUGUUCCCCAGCAUUUCUUUCGGGGACGAUGGGGUACUUNUGGGGGGNCCNCCCGNAUUUUUAAUUCGGAGGGAGGGUGCGGGCCCACGGUAGGUCAGUAUGCCCCGAUUUUCCCGGGUUACACGCGGGNUACAAUGGAUGGGACAAUGGUUCCNUCCCCCUGAAAAGGGCUGGUAAUNUCACAAACCCAUUCGUAGUUCGGAUCGAGGGCUGUAACUCGCCCUCGUGAAGCUGGAAUCCGUAGUAAUCGCGUUUCAAUAUAGCGCGGUGAAUACGUCCCUGCUCCUUGCACACACCGCCCGUCAAACCACCCGAGUGAGGUAUGGGUGAGGGCACGGACUUCGUGCCGUGUUCGAACCUGUGCUUUGCAAGGGGGGUUAAGUCGUAACAAGGUAACC
This 404-nucleotide ribosomal RNA is filed under the name uncultured archaeon. RNAcentral describes it as "bacterial SSU rRNA". It matches the Rfam family "Archaeal small subunit ribosomal RNA", at positions 1055 to 1448 of the family's 1478-position model. The record is from RNAcentral.